This 72-nucleotide transfer RNA is filed under the name Acanthiza nana (yellow thornbill). Its description in RNAcentral is "tRNA-Val". The record is from RNAcentral. Lineage: Eukaryota; Metazoa; Chordata; Aves; Passeriformes; Acanthizidae.
CGAGACGUAGCUUUAAACAGAAAGCAUUCAGCUUACGCCUGAAAGAUAUCUGCUCGCACCAGGUCGUCUCGA